This 253-nucleotide ribosomal RNA is filed under the name uncultured bacterium. RNAcentral describes it as "partial 16S ribosomal RNA". It matches the Rfam family "Bacterial small subunit ribosomal RNA", at positions 524 to 776 of the family's 1533-position model. The record is from RNAcentral.
GACGUAGGAUGCAAGCGUUGUCCGGAAUUAUUGGGCGUAAAGAGUUCGUAGGCGGUUAUCUAAGUCUGGUGUUAAAGCCCGAAGCUCAACUUCGGCAUGGCAUUGGAAACUGGAUAGCUAGAGUGUGGUAGAGGUAUCGGGAAUUCCUGGUGUAGCGGUGAAAUGCGUAGAUAUCAGGAGGAACACCGGUGGCGAAAGCGCGAUACUGGGCCAUAACUGACGCUGAGGAGCGAAAGCAUGGGGAGCGAACAGG